Molecule: ribosomal RNA, 868 nt
Filed under: uncultured archaeon
Lineage: Archaea
Description: bacterial SSU rRNA
Rfam family: Archaeal small subunit ribosomal RNA
Source: RNAcentral
CCUUGGGUGAUCCCGCCGGACCUGACUGCUAUCGGAUUGGUACUAAGCCAUGCGAGUCGUUGUAGCAAUACAAGGCGGACGGCUCAGUAACACGUAGUCAACCUAACCUAUGGACGUGGAUAACCUCGGGAAACUGAGAAUAAACCGCGAUAGAUCAUUAUGCCUGGAAUGGCUUAUGGUUCAAACAAUUUAUUGCCGUAGGAUGGGACUGCGGCCUAUCAGCUUGUUGGUGAGGUAAUGGCCCACCAAGGCUAUAACAGGUACGGGCUCUGAGAGGAGAAGCCCGGAGAUGGGUACUGAGACACGGACCCAGGCCCUAUGGGGCGCAGCAGGCGAGAAACCUUAGCAAUGUGCGAAAGCACGACUAGGUUAAUCCGAGUGAUUUCUGUUGAAGAAAUCUUUUGUCAGUCGUAAAACCACAGACGAAUAAGGGGUGGGCAAGUCUGGUGUCAGCCGCCGCGGUAAUACCAGCACCUCGAGUGGUCAGGAGGUUUAUUGGGCCUAAAGCAUCCGUAGCCGGCUACGCAAGUCUCCGGUUAAAUCCAGCUGCUCAACAGAUGGGCUGCCGGAGAUACUACAUAGCUAGGGAGCGGGAGAGGUAGACGGUAUUCUGUGGGUAGGGGUAAAAUCCACUGAUCCAUAGAGGACCACCAGUGGCGAAGGCGGUCUACCAGAACGCGUUCGACGGUGAGGGAUGAAAGCUGGGGGAGCAAACCGGAUUAGAUACCCGGGUAGUCCCAGCUGUAAACGAUGCAAACUCGGUGAUGCAUUGGCUUAUGGCCAAUGCAGUGCCGCAGGGAAGCCGUUAAGUUUGCCGCCUGGGAAGUACGGACGCAAGUCUGAAACUUAAAGAAUUGGCGGGGGAGCA